GCGCUUCAGAAGGCUGACAGUGUUUUGAUCUCCGAUCGCUCUGCUGCCACACACAAGAUGGCAGUGACGUAACGCAGGACUCAGCGCUCAAUGGCGCGUUUACGUAUCAUGUCUAUGAUGAAUACGACGUAGAGUGCUGAGUUUUACGUUACGUCCCCUCCAUCUUGAUCUGGAGCGAUCAGAGCUCCGUAAGUCAUUUGCUGUUUCAACCGUUUUACAGUAGAAACUGGAUUCAUUAACAUUUCCUUUUACAGCCUGUGUCUACGAGGAUGUCUCGGAAGUUACUGGACUGCUCCCAGUUUGACCAGCAAACUGAACCCCUGCCUGUGGCCAGUGUUCCCAGUAUAAUAUAAUAUAAAUAAAUAAAUACUUCUGUUUUAUUGCA
This is a long non-coding RNA of Xiphophorus hellerii (green swordtail), 385 nucleotides long. RefSeq lists it as uncharacterized. The transcript has 2 exons. The record is from RefSeq and is a predicted model, not a curated record. NCBI's taxonomy places the organism in Eukaryota, Metazoa, Chordata, Actinopteri, Cyprinodontiformes, Poeciliidae.